AGCGAACGCUGGCGGCAGGCCUAACACAUGCAAGUCGAACGAACCUUUCGGGGUUAGUGGCGGACGGGUGAGUAACACGUGGGAACGUGCCGUUAGGUUCGGAAUAACUCAGGGAAACUUGUGCUAAUACCGAAUGUGCCCUUCGGGGGAAAGAUUAAUCGCCUUUAGAGCGGCCCGCGUCUGAUUAGCUAGUUGGUUGAGGUAAUGGCUCACCAAGGCGACGAUCAGUAGCUGGUCUGAGAGGAUGAUCAGCCACAUUGGGACUGAGACACGGCCCAAACUCCUACGCGAAGCAGCAGUGGGGAAUCUUGCGCAAUGGGCGAAAGCCUGACGCAGCCAUGCCGCGUGAAUGAUGAAGGUCUUAGGAUUGUAAAAUUCUUUCACCGGGGACGAUAAUGACGGUACCCGGAGAAGAAGCCCCGGCUAACUUCGUG
RNAcentral lists this ribosomal RNA (434 nucleotides) under uncultured bacterium. Its description in RNAcentral is "partial 16S ribosomal RNA". It matches the Rfam family "Bacterial small subunit ribosomal RNA", at positions 29 to 507 of the family's 1533-position model. The record is from RNAcentral.